CACUCUGGGACAAGCCCUGGAAACGGGGUCUAAUACCGGAUACGACCACUGAGGGCAUCCUCGGUGGUGGAAAGCUCCGGCGGUGCAGGAUGAGCCCGCGGCCUAUCAGCUUGUUGGUGGGGUGAUGGCCUACCAAGGCGACGACGGGUAGCCGGCCUGAGAGGGCGACCGGCCACACUGGGACUGAGACACGGCCCAGACUCCUACGGGAGGCAGCAGUGGGGAAUAUUGCACAAUGGGCGAAAGCCUGAUGCAGCGACGCCGCGUGAGGGAUGACGGCCUUCGGGUUGUAAACCUCUUUCAGCAGGGAAGAAGCGAAAGUGACGGUACCUGCAGAAGAAGCGCCGGCUAACUACGUGCCAGCAGCCGCGGUAAUACGUAGGGCGCGAGCGUUGUCCGGAAUUAUUGGGCGUAAAGAGCUCGUAGGCGGCUUGUCACGUCGGUUGUGAAAGCCCGGGGCUUAACCCCGGGUCUGCAGUCGAUACGGGCAGGCUAGAGUUCGGUAGGGGAGAUCGGAAUUCCUGGUGUAGCGGUGAAAUGCGCAGAUAUCAGGAGGAACACCGGUGGCGAAGGCGGAUCUCUGGGCCGAUACUGACGCUGAGGAGCGAAAGCGUGGGGAGCGAACAGGAUUAGAUACCCUGGUAGUCCACGCCGUAAACGUUGGGCACUAGGUGUGGGCGACAUUCCACGUCGUCCGUGCCGCAGCUAACGCAUUAAGUGCCCCGCCUGGGGAGUACGGCCGCAAGGCUAA
RNAcentral lists this ribosomal RNA (751 nucleotides) under Streptomyces wuyuanensis. Its description in RNAcentral is "bacterial SSU rRNA". It matches the Rfam family "Bacterial small subunit ribosomal RNA", at positions 134 to 897 of the family's 1533-position model. The record is from RNAcentral. Lineage: Bacteria; Bacillati; Actinomycetota; Actinomycetes; Kitasatosporales; Streptomycetaceae.